Molecule: transfer RNA, 87 nt
Filed under: Gemmatimonadaceae bacterium
Lineage: Bacteria; Pseudomonadati; Gemmatimonadota; Gemmatimonadia; Gemmatimonadales; Gemmatimonadaceae
Also listed under: 2 other names
Description: tRNA-Ser
Rfam family: tRNA
About the family: Transfer RNA (tRNA) molecules are approximately 80 nucleotides in length. Their secondary structure includes four short double-helical elements and three loops (D, anti-codon, and T loops).
Source: RNAcentral
GGAGAGGUGGCAGAGUGGACUAUUGCACCGGUCUUGAAAACCGGAGUCCUCGCAAGGGGACCGUGAGUUCGAAUCUCACCCUCUCCG